ACGAACGCUGGCGGCGUGCUUAACACAUGCAAGUCGAACGGAAAGGCCCUGCUUUUGUGGGGUGCUCGAGUGGCGAACGGGGGAGUAACACGUGAGUAACCUGCCCUUGACUUUGGGAUAACUUCAGGAAACUGGGGCUAAUACCGGAUAGGAGCUCCUGCUGCAUGGUGGGGGUUGGAAAGUUUCGGCGGUUGGGGAUGGACUCGCGGCUUAUCAGCUUGUUGGUGGGGUAGUGGCUUACCAAGGCUUUGACGGGGAGCCGGCCUGGGAGGGGGACCGGCCACAUUGGGACUGCGAUACGGCCCAGACUCCUACGGGAGGCAGCAGUGGGGAAUAUUGCACAAUGGGCGGAAGCCUGAUGCAGCAACGCCGCGUGCGGGAUGACGGCCUUCGGGUUGUAAACCGCUUUCGCCUGUGACGAAGCGUGAGUGACGGUAAUGGGUAAAGAAGCACCGGCUAACUACGUG
This 467-nucleotide ribosomal RNA is filed under the name uncultured bacterium. Its description in RNAcentral is "partial 16S ribosomal RNA". It matches the Rfam family "Bacterial small subunit ribosomal RNA", at positions 29 to 507 of the family's 1533-position model. The record is from RNAcentral.